RNAcentral lists this ribosomal RNA (819 nucleotides) under uncultured eukaryote. RNAcentral's name for it is "SSU rRNA". It matches the Rfam family "Eukaryotic small subunit ribosomal RNA", at positions 629 to 1426 of the family's 1831-position model. The record is from RNAcentral.
CGGUGUUUAACUGGCGUGAUGUGGGACGUCCUACCGGUGGGCUUAGCCUCGCGAGGGGCGGCCCAACUAAUAUCCCGUCGCGGUGCUCUUUACUGAGUGUCGAGUCGGGCCGGUACGUUUACUUUGAACAAAUUAGAGUGCUUAAAGCAGGCUAUCCUCGCCUGAAUACUGCGUGCAUGGAAUAAUGGAAUAGGACCUCGGUUCUAUUUUGUUGGUUUUCAGAACCCCCGAGGUGAUGAUUAAUAGGGACAGAUGGGGGCAUUCGUAUUGCGACGUUAGAGGUGAAAUUCUGGGAUCGUCGCAAGACGGACAGAAGCGAAAGCAUUUGCCAAAAAUGUCUUCAUUAAUCAAGAACGAAAGUUAGAGGUUCGAAGGCGAUCAGAUACCGCCCUAGUUCUAACCAUAAACGAUGCCAGCUAGCGAUCCGCCGAAGUUCCUCCGAUGACUCGGCGGGCAGCUUCCGGGAAACCAAAGCUUUUGGGUUCCGGGGGAAGUAUGGUUGCAAAGCUGAAACUUAAAGGAAUUGACGGAAGGGCACCACCAGGAGUGGAGCCUGCGGCUUAAUUUGACUCAACACGGGAAACCUCACCAGGCCCAGACACCGGAAGGAUUGACAGAUUGAUAGCUCUUUCUUGAUUCGGUGGGUGGUGGUGCAUGGCCGUUCUUAGUUGGUGGAGCGAUUUGUCUGGUUAAUUCCGAUAACGAACGAGACUCUAGCCUGCUAAAUAGGCGUACCUUAUGGUAUCGCGAAGGCCCCCGGCUUCGGCCGGUGGGUUUUUACUACCAACGUACAAACAAAUCUUCUAGAGGGACAGGCGG